Tupaia belangeri (northern tree shrew) is the source of this 104-nucleotide small nuclear RNA. The record is from Ensembl. Lineage: Eukaryota; Metazoa; Chordata; Mammalia; Scandentia; Tupaiidae.
GUGCUUGCUUCAGCAGCACGUAUACUGAAAUUGCAAUGGUACAGAGAUUAGUGUGGCCCCUGUACAAGGAUGACAUGCACACUCAUGAAAUGAUCCAUAUCUUA